RNAcentral lists this ribosomal RNA (467 nucleotides) under uncultured bacterium. RNAcentral describes it as "partial 16S ribosomal RNA". It matches the Rfam family "Bacterial small subunit ribosomal RNA", at positions 28 to 507 of the family's 1533-position model. The record is from RNAcentral.
GAUGAACGCUGGCGGCGUGCUUAACACAUGCAAGUCGAACGGAAAGGCCCAAGCUUGCUUGGGUACUCGAGUGGCGAACGGGUGAGUAACACGUGGGUGAUCUGCCCUGCACUUCGGGAUAAGCCUGGGAAACUGGGUCUAAUACCGGAUAGGACCACUUCUUGGAUGUUGUGGUGGAAAGUUUUUUCGGUGUGGGAUGAGCUCGCGGCCUAUCAGCUUGUUGGGGGGGUAAUGGCCUACCAAGGCGUCGACGGGUAGCCGGCCUGAGAGGGUGUACGGCCACAUUGGGACUGAGAUACGGCCCAGACUCCUACGGGAGGCAGCAGUGGGGAAUAUUGCACAAUGGGCGCAAGCCUGAUGCAGCGACGCCGCGUGGGGGAUGACGGCCUUCGGGUUGUAAACUCCUUUCGCUAGGGACGAAGCGUUUUGUGACGGUACCUGGAGAAGAAGCACCGGCUAACUACGUG